GUGUCACCUGUCAUCAGCCUGCUCAGGCCAAAGUCUGCCACCUUCACCAAGUGGUUCUCCCCUACAAGGCAGUUUCUGGCAGCGAGGUCUCUGUGGAUGAAGUUCUUCUUCUCCAGGUACUCCAUGGCUGAAGAGAUCUGGGUUGCCAUGUACAGCAGCACCACUGCGUUGACCUCCUGCCGGUUGCACUCACGCAGAUAAUCCAACAGAUUCCCAUACGUCAUGAACUCCGUAAUGAUGUAGAAAGGAGGCUCCCGUGUGCACACCCCUAAUAAUUGCACCAAGUUCGGAUGCUUGAUCUCCUUCAUUACUGCAGCUUCUUUCAAGAACUCUUCCACCUCCAUGGUAUCCUCCUUUAGGGUCUUCACAGCCACUGUGAGGCUGUACUUCUUCCAGACUCCUUCAUACACCUCUCCAUACUGCCCGCCGCCAAGCUUGUGCUUCAUAGUGAUGUCAGUUCUCUCUAUCUCCCACUUGUCGUAGUUUGGAGACACCCCGUAAAUAGUGGGCUUGUUGCGCUUGGGCGCCGGGUAGUGCAAAGUGGUGAUGAGCCCAUCUGCUACUGUUGAAUGAUGAUGGACCAACUCUGCCAAGGUGUUGAAGCGGCUCUCUGAAGAGACGUACAGCUUUCCAUCGGACGCAGUGUUUAUUCUGUAGUGGUACACCCUCCCUUCGUAGCGCAGCGAAAUUGAUCUCUGUCCUGGACUGCUCUCACUCUCUCGCACGAGAAAGCUGCCAUUGAUGCCGCUGCUCAGGAGGUACUCAGCAGCAUUACGUGACACUGGUCCAUGGUACCAGGAAUGUUUCUCCAAACUAUUCACCGGGGUGAUGUAGUUGCUG
Molecule: long non-coding RNA, 840 nt
Filed under: Gallus gallus (chicken)
Lineage: Eukaryota; Metazoa; Chordata; Aves; Galliformes; Phasianidae
Source: RNAcentral